Molecule: non-coding RNA, 346 nt
Organism: Elusimicrobium minutum Pei191
Lineage: Bacteria; Pseudomonadati; Elusimicrobiota; Elusimicrobia; Elusimicrobiales; Elusimicrobiaceae
Rfam family: transfer-messenger RNA
About the family: Bacterial tmRNA, also known as 10Sa RNA or SsrA, is named for its dual tRNA and mRNA-like properties. Its role is to liberate the mRNA from a stalled ribosome.
Source: Rfam
GGGGGUGACAAGUUUCGACAGGUGCAUGUCUACUCUUGGUUGCAGGUACUGGUUGGCCAGGCCAGUUAAAACAGGGCUAAAAAAAAUAAUCGGCAAUCAAACCGAACUUAACUGGGCUACAGCCUAGUUUCCAUAUCUCUGCUUUCUCCCGCGAAGCGGGGAAUAUGGUCAAGAAGCGGGAUGCUGUUUUAAAGGCGAGCGUCGUACUUUAGAACUUAAGACUUACGAGGCGAACAAAACUCCGGCGGUUACGGGCCUUGGGUUUUGUUAUUAACCGUAACUAAACCUGUAGUAGCCUAGAUUAUGCUGUGCUUGGACGGGGGUGCGAAUCCCCCCACCUCCAUUU